CCGCCCCUUCCGUUGGAAUACGCGUCCAGGAGUAAGGAUUGCUUGGCAGGAAAAGCGUCCGCUCGAGUGCCGGUGUGUUUUGUUUUGAUUUUGCCUUAGCGACCAGAGCCGAGAUUCGGGCGCCAAGUUCUAGCCUGUGUUCCCGGAGCCCGGGCCGAGCACCGGCCGCAAGCCUGGCACACGCAGCCCGGGUGACACUCAUCGGCCCCCGGCCUGUCUGAGUCACUGCAAGCUUCUCUCUCCCCACUAUUCCUCUGCAAGUCAGCUCACGUCAGCGAGACCGCAGCGUGCUGGAGAUACAGAAACAGCCCGGGGCGGUGGCCCGCCUGGCAGCCCCGCGGGCAGGAGGCUGAGGCAGGAGGAUCCUGUGAGCUCUGGGCCCACCUGGGCU
This 391-nucleotide long non-coding RNA is filed under the name Fukomys damarensis (Damara mole-rat). RNAcentral describes it as "lncRNA (ENSFDAG00000021658.1)". Lineage: Eukaryota; Metazoa; Chordata; Mammalia; Rodentia; Bathyergidae. The record is from RNAcentral.